GCCACCGUGGCUCAGGGGUAGAGCAGCUCACUCGUAAUGAGCAGGUCGUGAGUUCGAAUCUCACCGGUGGCU
Molecule: transfer RNA, 72 nt
Filed under: Ardenticatenales bacterium
Lineage: Bacteria; Bacillati; Chloroflexota; Ardenticatenia; Ardenticatenales
Description: tRNA-Thr
Rfam family: tRNA
About the family: Transfer RNA (tRNA) molecules are approximately 80 nucleotides in length. Their secondary structure includes four short double-helical elements and three loops (D, anti-codon, and T loops).
Source: RNAcentral